This 492-nucleotide ribosomal RNA is filed under the name uncultured bacterium. Its description in RNAcentral is "partial 16S ribosomal RNA". It matches the Rfam family "Bacterial small subunit ribosomal RNA", at positions 29 to 507 of the family's 1533-position model. The record is from RNAcentral.
AGUGAACGCUGGCGGUAGGCCUAACACAUGCAAGUCGAACGGCAGCACAGUAAGAGCUUGCUCUUACGGGUGGCGAGUGGCGGACGGGUGAGGAAUACAUCGGAAUCUACUUUUUCGUGGGGGAUAACGUAGGGAAACUUACGCUAAUACCGCAUACGACCUACGGGUGAAAGCAGGGGAUCUUCGGACCUUGCGCGAUUGAAUGAGCCGAUGUUGGAUUAGCUAGUUGGCGGGGUAAAGGCCCACCAAGGCGACGAUCCGUAGCUGGUCUGAGAGGAUGAUCAGCCACACUGGGACUGAGACACGGUCCAGACUCCUACGGGAGGCAGCAGUGGGGAAUAUUGGACAAUGGGCGCAAGCCUGAUCCAGCCAUACCGCGUGGGUGAAGAAGGCCUUCGGGUUGUAAAGCCCUUUUGUUGGGAAAGAAAAGCAGCAGGUUAAUACCCCGCUGUUCUGACGGUACCCAAAGAAUAAGCACCGGCUAACUUCGUG